UGAUAAGGCCUCUUCGACAUUGUCGGCGC
RNAcentral lists this small RNA (29 nucleotides) under Bombyx mori (domestic silkworm). RNAcentral describes it as "ovarian small RNA-32350". The record is from RNAcentral. Lineage: Eukaryota; Metazoa; Arthropoda; Insecta; Lepidoptera; Bombycidae.